Long non-coding RNA from Brassica napus (rape), 5149 nucleotides. RefSeq lists it as uncharacterized. The record is from RefSeq and is a predicted model, not a curated record. The transcript has 2 exons. NCBI's taxonomy places the organism in Eukaryota, Viridiplantae, Streptophyta, Magnoliopsida, Brassicales, Brassicaceae.
GUUGUUUAUUAUAGUUAUGAUCAUUUCCAUGAUGACUCAAUUUGCACCACUAGACAUUAUUUAUAUGACUUUUUAGUUUUUAAUGUUUCGUUAUAAGCAUGGUGUUUUCUCGAAUUGGCAAUGAAAUCCUCAACACUAGUAUAAACUUUGCUUAGAUGAUGUAAUAUUAAACUGAGAUUAUCUGGGGAAUUAACAUUUCGGCAUCGCCAGGGACAGAAGACUGACACGUGGCAACAUGUGACUAGUCUGGAUCACUUUUGCGGAGUUAUAAUAAAUAAAAAAAAGAUUAUAUUUUGCAAUUAAUCAGGAAUGUCAACUCAGUCAGCUGUGACAACCACUAACAGCUUGAAAAUGACAAAAUAUAUUUAAAAGUUCACACUCAUUAGCUCCUCUAUUACUAAACUUAACAAUAUAAAUCUCUAGUUUAGUCAGGACUAUGAAGAAUUCUGAUAGUCUGGGAUUCUCAUGGUGAAUUUACAAGAUAGUUAGACUAGGUUAAGUCUAGUUUAUCUGCAUACAACACCACAUUUGGAUGAUUUGAUGAUACAAGCCUUCAGAGAUUUGGAUCAUUUUGGUGUUGCAAGAUGAAGUCUAUACAAGACCUUUACUUUUGUGAUGGCAAUUGGAGAUUAUGUAAAGUUGUUACCAUAGCUAAACGUGGAUAGAUGACUCAAUAGGUCUUGUCAUCCCAAUGAUCGACCUUAUGACCUCGUUAUGAGCUUGGUUAUGCUGGCUCCCUGAGACCGAGAGAUCUUGGAUCACGUCUUGUUCAUCAUCUGAAGAGACACCUAGCUAGAUGUAGCUAGAUGUUAUCAAGAGUUUUUUUUUUUUUGUUUUUGUUUUUGGCAAUCAAAUUUCAUCACUUACUCAGAUGUUAUCAAGUCUUCCAUUAAUAGUUCCAUUGAUGCUGUUAAUGGUCGCUAAAUGAAAACAGGCAACAUCACAUAAUAGUUCUACAUCAAAUCCUUAGCCGUAGUUAGAAGGCUUGAAACAUUUAGAAGCUUGUAGUCUUGUUGGCUUAGAAACAGAGGAGUGAAAUCUUAAAGUCUAGUAAAAUCGAUAACCAAUGCUGGGCCCAUUCUGUAAUUUAUAGUUAUGCGCCUUCUCGUUACAUUUUGGCAAGUGGUGUUAACUUAUGCAUACAUGUUGAUUGUUUACUAAUGAGCAAACGAUCAAUCACAUGUUGCAAGAACAUGGCAUGUGGCAUUGGCUCGUGAAUUACAUGUUGCAAUUCGAAUGACUCCUGAUAUUUCUUUCAUGUUUUAUUAUUUUAUGUUUAGAAUUUAUGAAUACUAAUUCAAUUAAACUUUAUUUUUGUUUGUUUGUUCCAGACAAGUAUUCAGAUUCUCCCUUGGGAUAUGAUGAUAGAGAUUUUUGAUAGAAUUUCUCGUCAUGGGACCAAGCAUUGUUCUUGUUGUAGAACGUGGCGUAAUUACUUUCGGGUUUGUCAGAGGUCAUUGAGGCUUGAUAACCCCGAAGAGAGUUCUUUCCUUUGAGGAAAAAGAUGUUUUGCAACUGUGUCACUGACAUUGGAUUUCUCACUUUCACGCCACCAGAAAUUCGCCGUCUUUACAACUACUGGUAAACCUCCGUCUACAUGACCGCCGGCGUAAUUAGUUGCGUUUACUCUCUUUUCUUUCUUCACUGUAGAUACGGUUAAAUGAUUUCUUUGGAGUGAAGUAACAUAAUUGUGGAUGAUUUGUUCGCUAGGGUUUCGUUUUGUUUUGUUACUCCAUGUCGAACAAAAGAGAAAUCCGCUUGAGAUCCAAUGCUAUGCUUCUAGAAUUCAAGUGGGAAAUGAUCCCAAGUGGGAAAUCUUUGGUAGCUUCUUGAGUGUUCAUGAACAAUAAAUUGUAGAAGAUAGACACGAGCUCACUUCUCAAUCAUGAGUUGGUGAGCCCAAUUCUCAAUUUGACGUUGUCUUGUUUACUUGAACUAAAGAAACGUUCUCUUGCCGUCUUCAUGAUCGCCACUGUGAAUUCACGAAAUCAUUGAUUGCCACCGUAAAACCGUAAGUUCAAUGGUUGAACCAUUGUGUGGACCCAUUCCAGUUAUAAAACAUGUCUUAUCCUGAAGAAUUUACCUAAGAAAAUAGCUCAUUAAUUGUGCAUUAUUCUUUUUGAUCAAACAAGAAAAUGGCUUAGAAAUAUAAUAUAACUCCUGAUCUCUCCAAUUCCAAAAAGUUCUUCGCUCUUUCAAUGAGAAUUGUAAUUAACUUGAAGUCAUACUUACUUUUGAUAUUAUCUUGAAGAUUUCAUGUAAUAAGAUAAAAAAAUUAAUAAAAGAUUUGAGAAAGCUUUUGUAGUCGUCUUCAGAUAUUACUAACAGAGUAAUUGGCCCAUUGACUAACAAAGAUAAUAUUAACAGUACCAAAAGUAACAAACAUAGUACCAAAAGGAGAGAAAGCUUUUGUAGUCGUUUUCUUCAAUAAAAGUAAAGAAAGACGAUAUUUCUCUCCACCAGCGCUUACCAGGAAAUUGACGGCCGGCAUAGGUAGUCCAUGUGGAAUGAAAGCAACGCAUUUCAAUUUCAGUUUUUCUUUGAAUCUCUCUUUCGAUUUGAGAGACGACUUCGUUUACUUACUCCAGAAACGAUGCAUGAAUGUUAGAUGUUGUGAGUGCUUGCAAGUGAUUCCAUCACCUAGAGAUUUCUUUCUUGGAGGUGAGUGCAGCUGGGAUCGAAGCGCUGAGCAUGCUCAUGAUGGUCACUGCAUACGACUGUCCGCAUUCGUUGUACCAGAUCUAGCCUUUCAUUUUCUUCUUUUUCUGGUUCAGGCGGAUUAUAUAGAACACUAGAGUUUUGAAUUUCAUUACUUUACACGUAAUCAUAUAAAAUUGAAUAUAGUAAGAAAUGGGUAAAUGAAAAAAAAUGUUUAGAAAAUGAUCAUCGUUCUAUGUACACAUUUUAUGUUAUCUGAUAUACUUUGGAAAAGAACUAUUUGAAUGGUCAUAUCGACAAAAUUGAAAUUUAAGAAUAAUAUUUUGGAUGCGCCUACUAAAUGUUUAUGAAAGAUAAAGGAGAUCAUAUCGGUAGAAUUGAAAGAAGCAUAUAGAAUUGAAGAAUACUAUUUACACAUGCGAUUGGUGUUGGCUGGGAGAUGGCUGUCUAUGGAGUUCUUCACUAUAUCUCUGGGCUUCUUCGUUGGUACACGUUUGCUACUUUUACUCCCUUCUAAUUACCAUCUCCACCAAUAGCCCGUAGACUGAUCUCAUCGCUGUCCCUUGUAUAUGAGGAGUUGCUACUGCCUUUGUGUCUUCUUGUCUACAUUUUACAAGCUAGCGGCUAUUAUGGCUUAACCCGACCUUUACUCCUUUUCAAAAUUAUUAGCACUUGAAUGCAAAAAGAAACCUUUCUCGGGCCUCUUGGGCCAUACAACAGACAGAGAAGAUCCAAAACCGUUUUGACCAUGGACAAUAUACCUUUGUUAUCUGGGCGAGUUUCUUGCUUGGACAAUUCUAUGUAUAUGCAGUUACUACGGGCUUGUCUGAAUAGCUGGAAGAAGGAAACUGAUUAAGCUGCAGUAGACAGAGAACCAACAUGAAGAUGCCAUAACCUUAUAGACUCUCGUGUGGCUCCUGAGAGUAGAUUCUAAAUCGGGAGCAGUUUGAGUUUUGAGACCUUGUAAAAGUAAAACUCAUAUUCGGAGUAUUGUAGUAGCAUAGAGUACACGACUCUAAUUAUCUGUUAUCAGGUUUGACGUACAGUGACAACCGGCAACAAAUGUAUGUGAUUGCAAUAUAGAGAAUGCAAGUCAAAAUGGCUUAAAUUUGUUUUGUUUGUUUGUUUGCUGCCUCCAUCGAUUUUCCAUAUAAAUCCAGUUAUAUUUUCAAGGGUUACUUAAAUAAGUUAUAGAUUCAUGCCGAAUUAUUUAGGCGGUGAUUAAUUAAUUAUGUCCGAGUCACGUGCACCUUACUACCCCCACGCUAUCCUCCAUGUCAGCAAACCUUUGCUCUGAAACAAACACCAGCGGUGAUUAAUUGGUUCUGUCCUAGUCCCACCUUACACCAUGAUUAACCCGAAGUUUGUAGGAUGAGACUUUUAGCGGAAAUUAAAAAACUGUUUUUUAACUUUUAAUUAAAAAAGCUAAAAACCAGUUCUUAAAUCCGGAUUAAUCAUGUUCUUAGGCCAUGACUAUCGAAAGGUAAUAAAAGAGUUUCUUGCACUGUUCUAAUGACCUGGAUCCCAUAAAAUGGCAAUAAUCGGUUUCAAAAGUUGUGAAAUAUAGGACUCAGUUCGUCCGUUUCUUACACAGUUUGCAGGCUAUACUGACACGUGACGAUCUGUGAUUAGUUUUUUUUUUUUAAUCAGAUAAAAAAAAAUUAAAAAAUCCUUAGUAGGUAUCAGGGGUAAUGAUGCUCUUGCUACCCCACGCUAUCCACCACGUCAGCAAACAUUUCCUCUGAAUCAAAUACCGGUUGCAGCGGAUAAAAGGCACACAAAGCAAAGAAAGAGGAACUGAUUCAGCCGGUUCUCAUUGAACCGUCUCCUGGAAUCUUUGGUUCAGCCAGUAUAUAUGUAUAUAUUUCUUUUUAAUAUAUUUCAAAUAAUUCGAACCUAACUCUAUUCUCUAUUCUUUUCCUUUUGAGUUUAAUUUUUUGUUUCUUUCUUUUCUUUAGCAAGUUCCGAUAAUGUUAAUUCGCCAGAGAACUAAGCUUAUUCAUUUAAACAUGUAAUUUUCAUCUAAAACGCAUGUUUGUUUCAGUUUGAUUCUUAAACAAUUAAUUGGGUUUAGUGUCUAGAUUUUAAAAUUUAAAUUUUAAGAUUUAAGGCUUAGAGUUUAAGAUUUUGGAUCUGGUGUUUUCUAUGAAUAGUGGUAUAUUAUCAGUUCACUUCUUCCUUCCUCAAUUAUAGCCGGAAACAAAAUUGCUCUGAAGAAGACAUGAUUUACCUCGAUCCAGGGAAGUCCAAUGGGCUCGGGUCAAUCAACCGCGAUGGAAGACCAAAAUCUCACGUCUACAAAAUGAGCCAAACCAGCUGGUUUCAUACCUAUAAUGAAAACUUAAACCGAAUUGGUUUCAAAUGAUUCGACUAAAAUCUAUUUUUCUCUUUUUAAAAGUUUUAAGUAUUGUUUUUCUCUGGCAAGUUCUGAUACUGUUACUUCGCCACAGAAAAGAACUGAGCUAAUAUAUUUAUUAAAAUUUGUUGUUUU